RNAcentral lists this ribosomal RNA (253 nucleotides) under uncultured bacterium. RNAcentral's name for it is "partial 16S ribosomal RNA". It matches the Rfam family "Bacterial small subunit ribosomal RNA", at positions 524 to 776 of the family's 1533-position model. The record is from RNAcentral.
UACAGAGGGGGCAAGCGUUGUUCGGAAUCACUGGGCGUAAAGCGUGCGUAGGCUGUUUGGCAAGUUGGAAGUGAAAUGCCAGGGCUCAACCCUGGAACUGCUUUCAAAACUGCCAGACUCGAAUCCGGGAGAGGAUAGCGGAAUUUCCAGUGUAGUAGUGAAAUACGUAGAUAUUGGAAGGAACACCAGUGGCGAAGGCGACUUCCUGGCCUGUUCUUGACGCUGAGGCGCGAAAGCUAGGGUAGCAAACGGG